AGUGAACGCUGGCGGUAGGCCUAACACAUGCAAGUCGAACGGCAGCACAGUAAGAGCUUGCUCUUACGGGUGGCGAGUGGCGGACGGGCGAGGAAUACAUCGGAAUCUACUUUUUCGUGGGGGAUAACGUAGGGAAACUUACGCUAAUACCGCAUACGACCUACGGGUGAAAGCAGGGGAUCUUCGGACCUUGCGCGAUUGAAUGCGCCGAUGUCGGAUUAGCUAGUUGGCGGGGUAAAGGCCCACCAAGGCGACGAUCCGUAGCUGGUCUGAGAGGAUGAUCAGCCACAUUGGAACUGAGACACGGUCCAGACUCCUACGGGAGGCAGCAGUGGGGAAUAUUGGACAAUGGGCGCAAGCCUGAUCCAGCCAUACCGCGUGGGUGAAGAAGGCCUUCGGGUUGUAAAGCCCUUUUGUUGGGAAAGAAAAGCAGCAGGUUAAUACCCCGCUGUUCUGACGGUACCCAAAGAAUAAGCACCGGCUAACUUCGUG
This 492-nucleotide ribosomal RNA is filed under the name uncultured bacterium. Its description in RNAcentral is "partial 16S ribosomal RNA". It matches the Rfam family "Bacterial small subunit ribosomal RNA", at positions 29 to 507 of the family's 1533-position model. The record is from RNAcentral.